UACGUAGGGUGCAAGCGUUGUCCGGAAUUACUGGGCGUAAAGAGUUCGCAGGCGGUCUGUCGCGUCGGAUGUGAAAACCCGGGGCUCAACCCCGGGCCUGCAUUCGAUACGGCCAGACUAGAGUUCGGUAGGGGAGUCUGGAAUUCCUGGUGUAGCGGUGAAAUGCGCAGAUAUCAGGAGGAACACCGGUGGCGAAGGCGGGACUCUGGGCCGAUACUGACGCUGAGGAGCGAAAGCGUGGGGAGCAAACAGG
RNAcentral lists this ribosomal RNA (253 nucleotides) under uncultured bacterium. RNAcentral describes it as "partial 16S ribosomal RNA". It matches the Rfam family "Bacterial small subunit ribosomal RNA", at positions 524 to 776 of the family's 1533-position model. The record is from RNAcentral.